This 85-nucleotide transfer RNA is filed under the name Methanomicrobiales archaeon. Its description in RNAcentral is "tRNA-Leu". It matches the Rfam family "tRNA". From Rfam's summary of the family: Transfer RNA (tRNA) molecules are approximately 80 nucleotides in length. Their secondary structure includes four short double-helical elements and three loops (D, anti-codon, and T loops). Further hydrogen bonds mediate the characteristic L-shaped molecular structure. tRNAs have two regions of fundamental functional importance: the anti-codon, which is responsible for specific mRNA codon recognition, and the 3' end, to which the tRNAs corresponding amino acid is attached (by aminoacyl-tRNA synthetases). tRNAs cope with the degeneracy of the genetic code in two manners: having more than one tRNA (with a specific anti-codon) for a particular amino acid; and 'wobble' base-pairing, i.e. permitting non-standard base-pairing at the 3rd anti-codon position. The record is from RNAcentral. Lineage: Archaea; Methanobacteriati; Methanobacteriota; Methanomicrobia; Methanomicrobiales.
GCGGGGGUCACCGAGCCAGUUCAAAGUCGAUAGGUUCAGGGCCUAUUCCCGUAGGGGUUCGUGAGUUCGAAUCUCACCCCCCGCA